AUUAAACGCUGGCGGCAUGCCUUACACAUGCAAGUCGAACGGCAGCACGGGGGCAACCCUGGUGGCGAGUGGCGGACGGGUGAGUAAUGCAUCGGAACGUACCUUGGAGUGGGGGAUAACGUAGCGAAAGUUACGCUAAUACCGCAUAUUCUGUGAGCAGGAAAGCAGGGGAUCGCAAGACCUUGCGCUCUGGGAGCGGCUGAUGUCGGAUUAGCUAGUUGGUGGGGUAAUGGCCUACCAAGGCGACGAUCCGUAGCGGGUCUGAGAGGAUGAUCCGCCACACUGGGACUGAGACACGGCCCAGACUCCUACGGGAGGCAGCAGUGGGGAAUUUUGGACAAUGGGCGGAAGCCUGAUCCAGCCAUGCCGCGUGAGUGAAGAAGGCCUCGGUUGUAAGA
RNAcentral lists this ribosomal RNA (398 nucleotides) under uncultured bacterium. RNAcentral describes it as "bacterial SSU rRNA". It matches the Rfam family "Bacterial small subunit ribosomal RNA", at positions 29 to 430 of the family's 1533-position model. The record is from RNAcentral.